Molecule: ribosomal RNA, 252 nt
Filed under: uncultured Bacteroidales bacterium
Lineage: Bacteria; Pseudomonadati; Bacteroidota; Bacteroidia; Bacteroidales
Description: partial 16S ribosomal RNA
Rfam family: Bacterial small subunit ribosomal RNA
Source: RNAcentral
UACGGAGGAUGCGAGCGUUAUCCGGAUUUAUUGGGUUUAAAGGGUGCGUAGGCGGGAUGCCAAGUCAGCGGUAAAAAUGCGGUGCUCAACGCCGUCGAGCCGUUGAAACUGUCAGACUUGAGUUGGCGAGAAGUACGCGGAAUGCGUGGUGUAGCGGUGAAAUGCAUAGAUAUCACGCAGAACCCCGAUUGCGAAGGCAGCAUACCGGCGCCCUACUGACGCUGAGGCACGAAAGUGCGGGUAUCGAACAGG